CUCCAGCAAGUGCUGCUAUAGUUCUGCCCCGGUCAGAGAGGGGGUCAUAACUAAUAUGGAGUCAUUUAAUACCUACAGGUAUCGUUUGGAGACAUUCGCAGAGUCCAGAUCUACUAAAUGGAGUCAGGAGCCUUACACAGGGCAGCGUGUUGAUGCCGGCAUUCAGCGUCCUCCAGGACCCUGGGAGAUCGCAGCUCAACCUCCGUCCUACUUUACUGACCACAAGGAGACCAUUAGAGUGCCUUACACUUCCUCAGUCAAGGUUUAAUCAGACACGGUCCACAAAAAUAGCCAAUGAAAACAACAGAG
Sinocyclocheilus grahami is the source of this 309-nucleotide long non-coding RNA. RefSeq lists it as uncharacterized. The transcript has 3 exons. The record is from RefSeq and is a predicted model, not a curated record. Lineage: Eukaryota; Metazoa; Chordata; Actinopteri; Cypriniformes; Cyprinidae.